GCUUGAUCCACUUGCAAAUACUUCGCAGAUAAGCCAGCAGUUCCGUUCAGUAGUUUUGGGAUAGCAGCAGCAGUGGCAUGACUAAUCCAGGUCUCAGUCGGAUUGACAUCUGUCAGCAGGAGGGUAUCGGCCCUUGUAAGCAGGAGGGACCAGGGCUACCUGAAGAUUUUGCUGCGCAUCUCUCCACAAAGUGAAGAUCUGGAAAGACCAGAGACCAAGAAGCGUUGCAGAACUGGCUCUACAAGCAAGUCCCUCUGACAAUCCACUGAAUCCUAUGUAUAUGCUUCUCAAACGUCACGUGUCCUCCACACGUCUUACCUCACCAUGUGUCUUGCCUCAGCACUGGAGUCUUUCAGUCUGUGUCAGCUGACAUCACUUUAUCAAUCUUCACAAGUUGGCAGAAGUGGCAAGAAGCAGCCAGCCUGCCACCAGAAGUUUUUGGUGAAUUUCUCUCUACGGAGUCAUGACAAUUGGAGCUCAACGAUGCGUGUAAAGCGGACCAAUAGAUGUAUGUCAUCAGGAAGAAUCCUUCAUCACGAGUCCUUUCGUGCGCUUGCUUUAGCAAAACAUCCUCUCACCUGUGUCCAUUUCAGGAAAACACUCCUUCCAUGUGUUUGCCCCAGCAAAAUACCAGCCAACACAACUUUCCAAAGAAACCAGAAGCUUCCACCUCAUUGGACUAUUGAAGCGAGGAUGUUUUUAAGAGAAGCAAACCUGCAGAUUAUCUCACCGAAUUAGUCAGCUUCUAGGCAGGAAACAUGCUACAAUCAACACAAUUUAACGGAAAAGAACACAACUAAGGGACUAUUCACAGGGGCGUUGGCAAGACCGAGGCAACUAGCAACCGUGGGAAGCCAUUCCACCCAGACAGAGUGCUGCAGGGCCAUUGGAAGGAAAAGUGGCCAUUAGCGACCUGCGCCAGCCUGAAGCCGUAGAAGGAAACCUUUUGGACUGUGUGCUUAUUAAAUCUGUCCUUUCUGCCUUCAGGCUUUACCCACCUA
Rattus norvegicus (Norway rat) is the source of this 1001-nucleotide long non-coding RNA. RefSeq lists it as uncharacterized. The record is from RefSeq and is a predicted model, not a curated record. Lineage: Eukaryota; Metazoa; Chordata; Mammalia; Rodentia; Muridae.